CCUACGGGUGGCUGCAGUGAGGAAUAUUGGUCAAUGGGCGCGAGCCUGAACCAGCCAAGUCGCGUGAGGGAUGACGGUCCUACGGAUUGUAAACCUCUUUUGCCGGGGAGCAAGCGUGCGUUCGUGAACGCGCGUCGAGAGUACCCGGAGAAAAAGCAUCGGCAAACUCCGUGCCAGCAGGCGCGGUAAUACGGAGGAGGCGAGCGUUAUCCGUAUUUAUUGGGUUUACGGGGUGCGUAGGCGGGCUGCCAAGUCAGCGGUAAAAAUGCGGGGCCCAACGCCGUCGAGCCGUGGAAACUGGCGUUCUUGAGUGGGCGAGAGGUAUGCGGAAUGCGGGGUGUAGCGGUGAAAUGCAUAGAUAUCACGCAGAACUCCGAUUGCGAAGGCAGCAUACCGGGGCCCAACUGACGCUGAGGCACGAAAGCGUGGGUAUCGAACAGGAUUAGAUACCCGGGUAGUC
This 460-nucleotide ribosomal RNA is filed under the name uncultured bacterium. RNAcentral's name for it is "partial 16S ribosomal RNA". It matches the Rfam family "Bacterial small subunit ribosomal RNA", at positions 338 to 795 of the family's 1533-position model. The record is from RNAcentral.